Pan troglodytes (chimpanzee) is the source of this 421-nucleotide long non-coding RNA. RefSeq lists it as uncharacterized. The transcript is spliced from 3 exons. Lineage: Eukaryota; Metazoa; Chordata; Mammalia; Primates; Hominidae. The record is from RefSeq and is a predicted model, not a curated record.
ACUACCUGAGCAGACAAUUAUUUUCCUUAGAAAGCUAUCUGGGAGUUGGGCCUAUUGGAAGCUCCAGGCCUUUCACCAGGCACCAAAAGUUAAAGAAACAGAAAAAGGAGGCUGUAUCCACAUGGAGCUUACAAGGGCCUGUCACCUCACAUGAAGCCUGUCUUUCUAUGCCGGGCUCACCUGGGUGGUCACAUCCAAGCGCAGCUGCUCAGGAUUGAGAUGCGAGCCCUGCUGCUCUGUGCCAGGGCCCAGGGUCUGCCUCAGUGCCCAGUUCAGCAGGUAGCCACGGUCUGAAGCCUGGCCCCCCUGUUCUGCGUAGAAGUUGGUCCUGUCCAAGAGGAGGCCACAGCGCUGGCCUUUCCCCACGGAGGCCACUGCUGUCCCGUCCUCUGUAUACAGUUGCAACACCUGGGCCUCACAG